AUGAAAACACUUUGUUGGAACUGUUGCGGGAUUGGUGAUCCCGCGACAGUCAGAGAACUCCGUGAACUUGUGCGGAUUUGUGCGCCCUCGAUUUGCAUAGUUGAGACUCAAUUAUCAAAGAGCCGAGUGAAAGGUCUGGCGGUUUCUUUAGGUUUUGAUUCUAGUUUUGGUGUAGCCAGUAGUGGCCGUAGUGGUGGUCUUUGCCUGUACUGGAACAAGAGUUUGAAUCUCGAAAUAAAAAGUUUUUCCAAGUAUCAUGUGGAUGCAUGGAUCUCCGAGCUGGAUAAGGAGCAAUGGAGGCUCUCCUGCUUCUAUGGAGAAGCUAACAGAAGUCUUCGUUAUAAGACCUGGGAAACGGUGAGAUUCCUACGAGGCUAG
Molecule: ribosomal RNA, 378 nt
Filed under: Triticum aestivum (bread wheat)
Lineage: Eukaryota; Viridiplantae; Streptophyta; Magnoliopsida; Poales; Poaceae
Description: partial small subunit ribosomal RNA
Source: RNAcentral